This 83-nucleotide transfer RNA is filed under the name Acinetobacter baumannii. RNAcentral describes it as "tRNA-Lys". It matches the Rfam family "tRNA". Rfam says of the family: Transfer RNA (tRNA) molecules are approximately 80 nucleotides in length. Their secondary structure includes four short double-helical elements and three loops (D, anti-codon, and T loops). The record is from RNAcentral. Lineage: Bacteria; Pseudomonadati; Pseudomonadota; Gammaproteobacteria; Moraxellales; Moraxellaceae.
GGGUCGUUAGCUCAGUUGGUAGAGCAGCGGACUUUUAAUCNNUAAUCCGUUGGUCCCGCGUUCGAGUCGCGGACGACCCACCA